Molecule: ribosomal RNA, 253 nt
Filed under: uncultured bacterium
Lineage: Bacteria
Description: partial 16S ribosomal RNA
Rfam family: Bacterial small subunit ribosomal RNA
Source: RNAcentral
UACGAGAGGCCCAAACGUUAUUCGGAAUUACUGGGUUUAAAGGGUGCGUAGGCGGCUUUGUAAGUCAGUGGUGAAAUAUGGCAGCUCAACUGUCAAGGUGCCAUUGAUACUGCAGAGCUUGAGUACAGAUGAGGUAGGCGGAAUUGACGGUGUAGCGGUGAAAUGCUUAGAUAUCGUCAAGAACACCUAUAGCGAAGGCAGCUUACUAGGCUGUAACUGACGCUGAGGCACGAAAGUGUGGGGAUCAAACAGG